This 898-nucleotide ribosomal RNA is filed under the name uncultured bacterium. Its description in RNAcentral is "bacterial SSU rRNA". It matches the Rfam family "Bacterial small subunit ribosomal RNA", at positions 26 to 897 of the family's 1533-position model. The record is from RNAcentral.
AGAACGAACGCUAGCGGCGUGCUUAACACAUGCAAGUCGUACGAGAAAUCCCGGGCAACUGGGAGAGUAAAGUGGCGCACGGGUGAGUAACGCGUGGGUAAUCUACCUUGGAGUUGGGAAUAACACCUCGAAAGGGGUGCUAAUACCAAAUGUGGUCCCUGGAGUUUCGGCCCUGGGGAUGAAAGAUGGCUGAGGCUUGCAAGCUAUUGCUCCAAGAUGAGCCCGCGUACCAUUAGCUUGUUGGUGGGGUAAUGGCCCACCAAGGCAAUGAUGGUUAGCUGGUCUGAGAGGAUGGCCAGCCACACUGGAACUGAGAUACGGUCCAGACUCCUACGGGAGGCAGCAGUGAGGAAUCUUGCGCAAUGGGGGCAACCCUGACGCAGCAACGCCGCGUGAGUGAUGAAGGCCUUCGGGUCGUAAAGCUCUGUCAGGCGGAAAGAAAGUUUUCAGGGUAAAUAAUCCUGGAGAUUGACGGUACCGCCAAAGGAAGCACCGGCUAACUCCGUGCCAGCAGCCGCGGUAAUACGGAGGGUGCUAGCGUUGUUCGGAAUUAUUGGGCGUAAAGAGCGUGUAGGCGGCCUCGUAAGUCAGAUGUGAAAUCCCUCGGCUUAACCAAGGAAGGGCAUUUGAAACUGCUUGGCUUGAGUACGGGAGGGGGAAGCGGAAUUCCCGGUGUAGAGGUGAAAUUCGUAGAUAUCGGGAGGAACACCGGUGGCGAAGGCGGCUUUCUGGCCCGAUACUGACGCUCAGGCGCGAAAGCGUGGGGAGCAAACAGGAUUAGAUACCCUGGUAGUCCACGCUGUAAACGAUGUUCACUAGGUGUGGGGGGAAUUGACCCUUCUCAGUGCCGUAGCUAACGCAUUAAGUGAACCGCCUGGGAAGUACGGUCGCAGACUAA